ACAAAAUGGCCGCUGUGCAAGACAAUGAGGAAGAGUGGGGGGAAUUUGAGGUCUGAACCAGUUACUUGAUCAAACACAUUAUUAGUCACUUCAUCAUCAUAAGAAAAAUGGUCACCCUUCCCAAACAAGAGUUUUAGGUCAACAUGAAAGAAGUAUUUAAGUGUUUACCGCCAGUUUUACAGCUGAUUGCUUUUCCGACAAUUCCAACAAACUGCUUCAGCUUCGAUCUGUGGAGCGAAAAGAGAUCAACCAAUAUGUCCAGACUGUUGAAGAUCAUCCUGGUGGUGGCCAUGUGUGUGCUCUUUUUAGCCACACUGACGUUCAGUGCAGAGGCCCACACAAAAUCCAAGUUACAGCAGCGGGCAUCAUCCGAACCCAGUUCAUGGCACCCAUGGUGCUGUGCGAUAGAACCAAGAAGUGGGGAUUACUAAUUAAACACAGCACAACCAAGACAAGCUGUAAAAGGUUUUUUUUUAAGUCUUGCCAUGUCAUAGGAACAAUUCUGUUCUCCUACACACGAAAAUUAAAUGAAUCCAAAACAUCACCAAAA
Molecule: long non-coding RNA, 550 nt
Organism: Hippocampus zosterae (dwarf seahorse)
Lineage: Eukaryota; Metazoa; Chordata; Actinopteri; Syngnathiformes; Syngnathidae
Exons: 3
Source: RefSeq, a predicted model, not a curated record